AUAGGAGAUGACAGCUCCAUGUGUGGCAUUGCCCCCGAAGACCUUCCAGUGGGACAAGAUGUGGAGGUGGGAGACAGUGAUCUUGAUGAUCCUGACCCUGUGCAGGCCUGGGCUGAUGUACUAGGAAUGGUGCAAAGAUGCUGAGGAAAUUGGAGUCAUUUGGAAACUUCUGUUCUAAGGGGAAGGUUCUAUAUGUCAGAAGAUGCCAAAAGGUCUCAAGAAGAUUACAUGGUACCUCUAGAGGUGUUCGAUGUGUUGACAAAUUCACACCUCCUAUAUUCCCUGAUUCUAUUAAGCGUUUUCCACAAGAUGGUUGGCCAGAAUUGGGCAUUUUUCAACAUUGCGGGGAUCAUAUAUAGCUGAUGCUGCUGGAAGUUGUAUCGUGAGUGGGCAGAAUGGCAAGAAUGGAUGUGAUCCCGACCAAAGGAACACAAAAGGACAUCGCUGGGCUUCCAGCAGUGAGAUGUCCUGCCCAGACAGAUGACCUACUUUAAAGGUUUAUUUUCCGCAUUGCAGAAGCCAUUAAACGAGUCUAUGCAAGCAAUUAAAGAGCAUUGCGUGGGAUCUGCUGAAAGCACGAAUAUAUUCAGUUGUCCUGGUUUUAAAUCAAUAAACUAACAUGGAUUUGGAAUUAACACCCACAUGGUGGACAAGCUCACCUUGCUUAAAAAACAAGCUAUUUCUAUUAGCUCUGAUCUCAAAACUAAUGAAAGUCAACAGUGAUUUUUAUCUUGAUCCUAGAAUCCUUAGGGCAGCUGGACGGCAGAGCCACUGAGAGCAUUGCAAGAAAAGCCAACGGGGUGCCAGGCCAGUCAUCGCUGAUGGGGGAACGUGUCAAGGAUUAGGAAGGUCUUAUGCAAACUGCGGAGAGACAACAGGGAGGCACCUGCCUUGAGAAAAGCCCCGCUCCUUUGUCCCUGGUUGCUUCAUAUGACCAGUAUCUGCCUGCCCCGAACACCUGCCCGUCCAAAUACAAUACUUAGAAUGACCUUUGUUUAUUCGCUCCUAUAGUCAUUAUUCUCUUCACCUAAAAGGACAGGACACAAUGAACUUAUUACUCAGCUUGGCUGUUCACAGUCACUAAUCCUAGCGAUGAUGUCAACCUGCCCCAUCUUUGAUCAAAGAGUACACAACAAAAUCUGCCAGGAAGAUUUUUAGGCCUGACUCAUUGAGAAAUGAAAAUAAUUAUAAAAGUAAUAUGUAAAAUUUAAAGUACAUGAAUUCCACCCUGAUAUAUAUAUAUAUAUAUAUAUAUAUAUACUUAGCUAGCAGGAUGCUGUAGGGCAACUUCUUGCUUCCCUUUAGGACCUAGACUCAGUCCCUCAACUUUUGACGGCUGCAGAUGGUUCACAGCUGAGUCCCUGUCUGAGCGUUGCACUGGGUAAGAGAGCGUCUGCUCCCGCGAGCUUAUGCCUCCUCCCCAGGAGCAGCCCACACCCAGAGACUGGUUAAUGCAGGGGUAUGAAGACUUAGCCCCCUGGUCUUGAUAUAGGACAACUUCUGAAAGGCCGUCUCAGCUCCAGAAAUUUUCGUAGGACCGGCUGAGCUCUCUGCUGCAACUGCUCUGCGCUCAACUUCUCUCGGCCCAAUUCUGUUUCCUUUCCUUCCUACAAGGAUUGUUCCCAAGAGCACCCCCUGUAAACUUCCUGCGUGCAAUUCUCCACCUCAAACUCUUUUCCAGGAGAACGGAGCUAAGAGAGCACCCGCCCAAAAGGAGAAAAGGUUUUCAUUGAGGAGAAGUUCACUGAGAUAAUUUUCUUACUACUCCUGUUAUUUGUAUAGUAAACCCUACUGAUCAGAAAACUGAGACACCACGUAUGAAAAGACUUCAUACCACAGAAUUGAUGCAAUCUCCUGUUUUUCUUGAAACAUAUGGUUUUCUCAGUCUCUCUCUCAUUGUCCCAGUUUUACUAAAGGUACAGUGUAUCAGGUUUAACUGCUUUUAACAGAAAACUCAAAUAUGACUCUUAAAGAAGAUAAAGUUUGAUUUUUCUCUCUAGUAGAAGUCUACUGAAGACAGUCCAGAGCUGGGAUGGUAGCUCCAUGGUUGUCAGAGACUUAAGUUUGUUAUAUUUUUUCUUCACCCUGUUGAGCCCUUGACCUCCAUCCUCACAACAGCUCAGGAUCCAAAUAGGUGCUGAAGCUCCUGCCAGCAUGUCUGCAGGCAGAAAAAGGAAGAAUGGAAGGGCCAAAAAAAAAAAGUGAUUUCUUUGUAGUUGUCAGCCAUCUUUAAAUAAUAGUUUCAGGGGUCUUGCCCAUAAACUUCCACCUAUAUCUCAUUGGUGACUACUAUUUGCAAGGGUGGAGGGUAAACAUAAUUUUUAGUUGGGUCCAUGCCAACCCUGAUAAAAUAGACAUCAAUUACUGAGGACAAGAGGGGAGAAUGCAAGAGUAGGCAACUGGUAAGCUCCGCCUUACCUAGGUUAAAAGAAAAGUCUCUACUUGAAGAAAUCUAUAUAGGGCAAGAAUGAUAAGCAGCGUCUGACCCUUGGGCUCCAUGUGGGGAGGUAACUGGAAGUGGUGGGAGCUGUGAUGAGCAGGAGCACUCAUCCACCAGGUACAGCUGGAGCCACCCCUGCCAUGUGGGAAUGGAGUCCAGUUGGGUCUGAUCUUCCAAUUUUCCAAGAGAAGCUGGCAAACCAGAUUUUUAUGUGAAUUUUCCCUUUUUUAAAAUCAACAUCCACAUUUUUAUAAAAUUCUGUGUCUGAAUUUUGUAAUCUGUAUCUAACCUCCAGUUUGCAAUCUCUGAUCAAGAAGAGCCAAUUUUCCUUGGGGCAAAACUUCAGGAAAUUUGUGCCACACAGUAAGACGUGGACUCUAUUGCUUUGCAAUCCAAGGUGAGGGGAAAAGAACUUGAAAUGAAGGUACAGGUGGCCAGAUGCAUGGACCAGGGCAAAUACUUACACCCUGUGGGCAGGCAGCCCACCAGCCACCUGGCCCUCAACUUCCCUCUUCAGUCAGAAGGAACUGGCUCAGAAGCCGGGUGUACAGAAUUUUUACAAGCACAAUUCUGGAUAAUUAACCCCUCCUUGCUCUAUAUAAAUGCCUGUGGCACAAACCUCAUCAAAUUCCUUCUACACAUUUGUCCGUUCCUUGCAGCUUUCUCUUUUGACCAGCAGAUGGCAGCAAAUAUUGACCAGUCUUGGGCACUAAUUUACACCUUCAGAGUUGAUGUUCUUUUUGAUGCAUUUUUUUAAUUAUGUCAAUAAAAACAAGGAAAAUCAUCUA
This 3228-nucleotide long non-coding RNA is filed under the name Equus caballus (horse). RNAcentral's name for it is "lncRNA (ENSECAG00000059210.1)". The record is from RNAcentral. Lineage: Eukaryota; Metazoa; Chordata; Mammalia; Perissodactyla; Equidae.